GGGGGGGGCAAGCGUUGUUCGGAAUUACUGGGCGUAAAGGGCUCGUAGGCGGCCAACUAAGUCAGACGUGAAAUCCCUCGGCUUAACCGGGGAACUGCGUCUGAUACUGGAUGGCUGGAGUUUGGGAGAGGGAUGCGGAAUUCCAGGUGUAGCGGUGAAAUGCGUAGAUAUCUGGAGGAACACCGGUGGCGAAGGCGGCAUCCUGGACCAAUACUGACGCUGAGGAGCGAAAGCCAGGGGAGCAAACGGGAUUAGAUACCCCGGUAGUCCUGGCCCUAAACGAUGAAUGCUUGGUGUGGCGGGUAUCGAUCCCUGCCGUGCCGAAGCUAACGCAUUAAGCAUUCCGCCUGGGGAGUACGGUCGCAAGGCUG
This 371-nucleotide ribosomal RNA is filed under the name uncultured bacterium. RNAcentral describes it as "bacterial SSU rRNA". It matches the Rfam family "Bacterial small subunit ribosomal RNA", at positions 527 to 896 of the family's 1533-position model. The record is from RNAcentral.